This 2039-nucleotide long non-coding RNA is filed under the name Homo sapiens (human). Its description in RNAcentral is "PREDICTED lncRNA (TCONS_00231716)". Lineage: Eukaryota; Metazoa; Chordata; Mammalia; Primates; Hominidae. The record is from RNAcentral.
AGGAUGUGGGUGGGGCCAGAUAAGGGAAUAAAAGCAGGCUGCCCGAGCUAGCAGCAGCAACCCGGUCAGGUCCCCUUUUGUGCUGUGGAAGCUUUGUUCUUUCUCUGUUUGCAAUAAAUCUUACUGCUGCUCACUCUUUGGGUCUACGCCGCCUUUAUGAGCUAUAACACUCACCGUGAAGGUCUGCAUCUUCACUCCUGAAGCCAGUGAGACUACGAACAAACGCAUUGGGAGGGACGAACAAACGCAUUGGGAGGGACCAACAACUCCGGACAUGAGGAACAAACAACUCCAGAUGCGCUGUCUUUAAGAGCUGUAACACUCACAGCAAAGGUCUGCGCCUCACUUCUUAAGUCAGUGAGACCACAAACCCACCAGAAGGAAGAAACUCCGGACGCAUCUGAACAUCUGAAAGCACAAACUCUGGACACACCAUCUUUAAGAACUGUAACACUCACCGCGAGGGUCCGCAGCUUCAUUCUGGAAGUCAGCAAGACCAAGAACCCAUUAUUCCGGACACAAAGGGGCAGCUGCUGUAGCUGUGUCACCUGACAAGCAACCAGCGCCCCCGCUGCACAAAGCAGCAGCAGCAGCAGUUUCAGCACAGCCCAGAAACGAGUGUGCUUCCGGGGGAGUGGCUUGCAGGGGCAGGAUUCGGACUUAGAUUUGGGGGCCUAAUUUGUUUCCUUGUUCCAGGGAGAAGAUGUCCAUCUAUAAGAAAGUGGUCCCUCAGCAGACACUGAAUCUGCUGGUGUCCUGAUCUUGAAUAUACCAGCCUCCAGAACUGUAACACAUGCAUGGGUGCAAAACAUGCUUCUGUGUCAUCUCACAUAGUGUGGUCAACAGAGAACACCUGGGCAGAAGAUGAGAGGCUCCUGGGGACUGGUCUGAGACAAGGUGCUGUAAAAGAAAACCUAUAUUAAAGUGGUUGGAAGUGCACAGACUGGUUGCUUCACCUGCAGCCAGAAUGCAAGACAGGUGCAAGUCAUCCCUGAGGAAGUAGUGACCAGCUGUGGAUGCUACGCUGAGGCCCUUCUUUAAGAGUGAUCUGAUGGCACUGGAUGUCUGCUGAGGCUUGUGUCUAGAAGGAAUGAAAGGAUGUGCCAACAACAGCAGUUGUCUCCUCGUUUUCAAAGCUCAGGCCUCAUGGUAUCCCCUUCUCUUGGUUCUGUUUACUAAAACAUAUCAGUGCCUGACUAUGCCUGAAUGAUCCAUCUUCCUUAAGGCUGCUACACCAUAACUAGGAGCUUUAAAAAAAAGGGGGGGGCAUUUACUCUCUGAGGCACUCAAAAAAGCACAUGCUUUUAAUUGAGGGAUGGGGGUGACAAUGGAUCAUUCUGUUGAUUUUAACUAUCUCAUAUUUGUUAACAGCAUCAUUUCCAUGGAUAGCUUUCUGAAAGACUGCCUAUCCACUUAGAGGUGAGGAGAAGUAAUAGGGGAGGAAACCCUGCCGAGCUGCAAAAAGUUCUAAAUCCAGUCCUUUAAUUAUCUUGCUUAAAAUUCUUUAUUGGCUCUUUGAUACCCUCAGAAUAAAGCAAACUGCUUAAACAUGACUUACAAAGUAAUUGCUAUAGUUUGAAUAUUGUCCCCCAAAUCACAUGUUGAAAUUGAUUCCUAGUGUCAGAGGCGGGGACUGUGAGAGGUGUUGGGGUCAUGGGGCAUAUCUCUCAUGAAUAGAUUAAUGCUCUGUCAGCAUGGGGUGGGGUUGUGUGAGUUCUCACUCUUAUUAGUUCCCAAAGAGUUGGUUAUUCAAAAAGAGCCUGGCAUCUCCCUCCUUUUUGUCUCUUGCCUCCUCUCUCACGUGUGAUCUCUGUGCAUGUGCCUUUCCGUUGCCUUCCCCAUGAGUGGAAGUGGCCUGAAGCCAAUGCUGGUGCCAUGCUUCCUGUACAGUCUGCAGAACUAUGAGCCAAAUAAACCUAUUUUCUUUAUAAAUUACUCAGCCUCAGAUAUUCCUUCAUAGCAACACAAAUAGAGUAAGACAGCCAUUAAUAUCAUGCCUAUACCUGAGACAGUGGUAUGCAUUAAACAUUACAUCUGCC